RNAcentral lists this ribosomal RNA (1481 nucleotides) under metagenome. Its description in RNAcentral is "bacterial SSU rRNA". It matches the Rfam family "Bacterial small subunit ribosomal RNA". The record is from RNAcentral.
AGAGUUUGAUCCUGGCUCAGGACGAACGCUGGCGGCGUGCUUAACACAUGCAAGUCGAACGAGAAUCUGUGGAAAGAGGAUUCGUCCAAUUGAAGCAGAGGACAGUGGCGGACGGGUGAGUAACGCGUGAGGAACCUGCCUUUCAGAGGGGGACAACAGUUGGAAACGACUGCUAAUACCGCAUAACACAUAGGUGUCGCAUGGCACUUAUGUCAAAGAUUUAUCGCUGAAAGAUGGCCUCGCGUCUGAUUAGCUAGUUGGUGAGGUAACGGCCCACCAAGGCGACGAUCAGUAGCCGGACUGAGAGGUUGAACGGCCACAUUGGGACUGAGAUACGGCCCAGACUCCUACGGGAGGCAGCAGUGGGGAAUAUUGGGCAAUGGGCGCAAGCCUGACCCAGCAACGCCGCGUGAAGGAAGAAGGCUUUCGGGUUGUAAACUUCUUUUGUCAGGGACGAGUAGAAGACGGUACCUGACGAAUAAGCCACGGCUAACUACGUGCCAGCAGCCGCGGUAAUACGUAGGUGGCAAGCGUUGUCCGGAUUUACUGGGUGUAAAGGGCGUGUAGCCGGGAGGGCAAGUCAGAUGUGAAAUCCACGGGCUCAACUCGUGAACUGCAUUUGAAACUACUCUUCUUGAGUAUCGGAGAGGCAAUCGGAAUUCCUAGUGUAGCGGUGAAAUGCGUAGAUAUUAGGAGGAACACCAGUGGCGAAGGCGGAUUGCUGGACGACAACUGACGGUGAGGCGCGAAAGCGUGGGGAGCAAACAGGAUUAGAUACCCUGGUAGUCCACGCUGUAAACGAUGAAUACUAGGUGUGCGGGGACUGACCCCCUGCGUGCCGCAGCUAACGCAAUAAGUAUUCCACCUGGGGAGUACGAUCGCAAGGUUGAAACUCAAAGGAAUUGACGGGGGCCCGCACAAGCGGAGGAACAUGUGGUUUAAUUCGAUGAUACGCGAGGAACCUUACCCGGGCUUGAAUUGCAGAGGAAGGAUUUGGAGACAAUGACGCCCUUCUGGGCCUCUGUGAAGGUGCUGCAUGGUUGUCGUCAGCUCGUGCCGUGAGGUGUCGGCUUAAGUGCCAUAACGAGCGCAACCCCUCUCCUUAGUUGCCAUCAGGUUAAGCUGGGCACUCUGGGGACACUGCCACCGUAAGGUGUGAGGAAGGUGGGGAUGACGUCAAAUCAGCACGGCCCUUACGUCCGGGGCUACACACGUGUUACAAUGGCAGGUACAGAGAGACGGUCCCUUGCAAAACGGAUCAAAUCCUUAAAGCCUGUCUCAGUUCGGACUGGGGUCUGCAACCCGACCCCACGAAGCUGGAUUCGCUAGUAAUCGCGCAUCAGCCAUGGCGCGGUGAAUACGUUCCCGGGCCUUGUACACACCGCCCGUCAAGCCAUGAAAGCCGGGGGCGCCUAAAGUCCGUGACCGUAAGGAGCGGCCUAGGGCGAAACUGGUAAUUGGGGCUAAGUCGUAACAAGGUA